Molecule: long non-coding RNA, 267 nt
Organism: Cynoglossus semilaevis (tongue sole)
Lineage: Eukaryota; Metazoa; Chordata; Actinopteri; Pleuronectiformes; Cynoglossidae
Exons: 5
Source: RefSeq, a predicted model, not a curated record
AUUGAAGCGGAGUUCAUUGCGCAACUUUGUCUUUUCCAAAGUAAACCAUAGGUGGGAUUUGAAUCCCUUGUGCAACAAACAGCAGACAAAUAAAUAAGCAAAUCCCGUGGUGUGGCAGCAAACAUCAGAGGAAUCAGAGCAGAAGAAGGACAAAGAAGCAGACUCAGCGUUAAAGUCAAGGCUCUACAGCAUGAAGACUGUGAUUUUGGCUCUUUUGAUAGUUCUGCUUUUCAGCCACAGUGAAGCCGUGCAGUGUGUCAGUGGUGG